GACGAAGGAUGCAAGCGUUUAUCCGGAUUCAUUGGGUUUAAAGGGAGCGUAGGUGGCCUUAUAAGUCAGUGGUGAAAUCUCUGGGCUUAACCCAGAAAUUGCCAUUGAUACUGUAGGGCUUGAGUAUAGUUGCCGUUGGCGGAAUAUGACAUGUAGUGGUGAAAUACAUAGAGAUGUCAUAGAACACCGAUUGCGAAGGCAGCUGACGAAACUAUAACUGACACUGAGGCUCGAAAGUGUGGGGGAUCAAACAGG
RNAcentral lists this ribosomal RNA (255 nucleotides) under uncultured bacterium. RNAcentral's name for it is "partial 16S ribosomal RNA". It matches the Rfam family "Bacterial small subunit ribosomal RNA", at positions 524 to 776 of the family's 1533-position model. The record is from RNAcentral.